AGAGAGUGAGCCACGUGUUGCCCAGCUCUGAAGUGGGAAAGAGUGAGGUACAUUAGAGGCACCUAAGGAAGGCCAGCUGAUGGAGCAAAAGUCAAUGAGAUAUUAGUGCAACAUGAGGUCAGCCAGUGCAGGGGUUCAUCAGUCUUGUUACGUUUGGAGUUUUUAACCCAACAGCAAUGGCAAGUCAUUGCAGAAUUUUUUGGCAGAGGAUAUAAAAUCACAGGGUUGGUUUUUAAAAGAGCUCUCUAGCCUUGGUCCAAUCAGAUUGGAAAUGUCUUACCUUUUGCAAGCUCCUUAUCUUAUGUAACAACCGCUCUAGUGAGGUUUGCAUGUGGGUUAAUAUUCACUUCCUUUGUCUUUCUACCCUUUAGGAGGCCCAAAAGGAUUCUUUGGGAAGAGUUGCAAAAGGAAAUGUAACUGUGCCAACAAUGGCCAUUGCCACAGGGUGUAUGGUGCCUGUAUGUGUGAGCCAGGGCGCUAUGGGAGGUUUUGUCACCUGAACUGUCCCAAGGGAGCCUGUGGAGCUGGCUGUUCUUCAGAAUGUCAGUGUGUGGAGGAGAACACCCUGGAAUGCAGUGCCAAAAAUGGCAGUUGCACCUGCAAAUCUGGUUACCAAGGCAACAGAUGACAGAAAGCCUGCCCUAACGGCCUCUGGGGACCAGAUCUUCCGUUCUCCUGUGGACCCUGUGAGAAUGAAGGAACAAACGGGAAGGACUGUAAACAGGUGUGUCAGUGUUCAGCUGAGAAUGAGGAGUGUCACUCCAUCACAGGGAGAUGUACCUGUCUGCCGGGCUACCAUGGAAACCGCUAUCAUCUCCGUUGCCCAAGAGGCACUUAUGGUCCUUAUUGCCAAAGGAAGUGUAAGUGACUGAACGGUGGCAGCUGCGACACCAUGAUUGGCACCUGUGACUGCCCUCCUGGCUUCAUCGGGGCUGACUGCAGUCAAACUUGUCCUGAAGAUCACUACGGGCAGGACUGUGUCCAGCGGCGUUCCUGUGGCUCAGGACAGUGUGACCCAGUGACUGGAGGGUGGCAGUGUCCCCCCGGCCAAAUGGGAGCCAGGUGUCAGCAAGGAUGUCCCCCAACGAGGUAUGGCCCAAACUGUGAGCUAAAAUGUACCUGUAAAAAUGGUGGCCUUUGCAAUCCUGUGGAUGGAAGCUGUACCUGUGCCCUUGGCUGGACAGGAAAUUAUUGUGAAAAAGGUAAGUUGAUUACUACUUUCUUUCAUUCAAUAAAAAUCUACAGCAUAGUGCCAUUGGUUGAUAAAGUAUAGUACGGACCUGUGAAGGAGCUCUUUUCCAAUAAGUUUAUACAAGUUGUUUAUAAUUAUGAUUGCAUUUCCAAUAAAAAUAAUGUUAUGUUAAUACUGAUUGAUUUUUUUUACCUUGUUACUGGAAUACCACAUGAAAACUCUUAAAACUCUUAAGUAAUUGAAAUAGUAUUCAUGUGAAAGAGCUCCUUUGAGACCUGAAUCCCACUCCCCCCCCAGCCAGUUCUUGAGGCAGGCGGGAUGGAGGAUGCAGGGCCCUGGGCAGAGCCAGUUCACAUCAGGAGUGGACCCAGCUGCAAGAAGUGAAGUGCAGGAUUCUGGGAGCAGAGGUCUCCAAACUGCACCUCAUUGGGAGAAAUUUAAUCAUGCACCACCAUAAAUGUACUUUUAUUUAGAAGUGACAUUCAUGUGCUUCUCCACUAAUAUGUACCUUAUAAAGGUUUAAAUUGAUAAUGAAUGGAUAAAGAUAAAGAUCAAGAGUUGUUCUAAUGUUUUCUUUUGGAACCACAGUUGAUAAUUUUGUACAACACUGAAAAGCAUGCACCAUAGUUAGAGCACGCUAUUGUGGGAGGUAGUGGUGUGUUUUUGCAGAAUAUUGAGAAAAAGCAGUGAGGCGGAGCAUGGGUGAGAACACUGUGCUUGGGACCUAAACUUGGGGUGCCCUGAGUAAAACAUAACCCACAGUGAAUUUUACCUAGAUGGUUCCAACUUUGGGGGCUAUGGCUCUUUAGACCUGCGGCCCUAACAUACUCUCACAGUGAGUGUGAGUACCCACCAUCCUUUGCCGCUAAUUUGACCGUCAUGAAACUCGGCAGCAUGGCACAGGCGAAAGCACCUUGCACUGGGGGUGGAUAACCCUUAGGCUAAUCUCUGCUCUGCUGACCAUGCUCUGUGCCUUGGAGAGGUUCACAACCGCUCCCUGAGUUUCCCAUCUGAAAGUGAGUAUGGUGACACUUUGAAAUGACAGCCCUUCUAAAUCCAACAUUAAAGACCAUUUUUCACAGAAUUUUUAAAAACAUGGAUAUCCUCCCUAAUUCAUCGGAAACAGCUCCUAUCAAUUUUGUGAUAUUUGGGACUCCUAAAUCAGAGGCAUAGCAGUGUGUUUAGAAUAGAUGUGUUCAUGUUGUUUUUGUUUCUAAUUCAGAGUUGGAUAAUUCUAGCAUUUGGGGUUGUGGGAUAUUUUAACUUUUGAUUCUAUCAUUUAAACUCUUUAUUAUGGAAUAUUUCAAACACAUACAAGAGUUACUGAGUCAUGGGGGGGGGUAAGUACAAAUGUAGUUUUGCAACAUACUGACAGAUUUUCUUUCAUGUGGGAUUGUACCAUAUUGCAUCCUCAUAAACAACAUAUAGAAUGCCUGUUUCCUCACAAGGGAAUCAAAAGAGUAUAUUAUCAAAAUUUUGGUGAGAAAUGUUGUAUUAGUGGAGUUUUAAUUUUCAUUUUUAUUAUUAUGAAUAAAGUUUAGCAUCCUCUUUAAUGGGUAAGGACCUUUUUCUAUAAAUUGUCUAUUUGUACUGUAAAUAGUUGUAUUUUUUGUGUGCCCAUAGGAGGAGGUGAGCUCGGGGUCUUUUUUAUUCCACCAUCUUGACCACUACCAUCCCUGCAUGGCUUUUUUUUUUUCCAACAGGAUAAUUGGGUUUCUAACAUGACAGCUGACUUUUUUUUUUUUUUUUGGCUGUGUUGGGCUUUCAUUGCUCUGUGCAGGCUUUCUCUAGUUGCAGCGAGUGGGGGCUACUCUUCCUUGCACUGCACAGGCUUCUCAUUGCAGUGGCUUCUCUUGUUGCAGAGCACAGGCUCUAGGCGUGCAGACUUCAGUAGUUGUGGCACGCGAGCUCAGUAGUUGUGGCUCGCGAGCUCUAGAGAGCAGGCUCAGUAGUUGUGGCACAUGGGCUUAGUUGCUCCAUGGCAUGUGGGAUCUUCCCGGACCAGGGCUCGAACCCGUGUCCCCUGCAUUGGCAGGAAGAUUCUUAACCACUGUGCCACCAGGGAAGCCCGACAGCUGACUUCUUAAACCAAAAGUUUUCAGGUCUUCCUAUGGCUUGGAAAUGAUAUAACAUUUCCACCGCAUACUCUUGGAUACAGCCAGUUAUGGGUUUAGCCCAGAUUCCACAAGGGAAUUGAUGACGCAAGGGUGUGAAUCCUAGGAGAUGUGCUUCAUUAAGAGCAUCUUUGGAUUAUAGAUUCUGCAUGAUUCAAAAGACUUUUUUUUUGUUUUUAUAAAAUAUAUCUUUCCUCUGUAUUUUAAAAUUUUGAGUCAUAAUUAGGCAUGGAGUCCCCAUUCUCAGGUUUUAGAGGAAUUCAACCAGGUUUUCUUUUAAUACUUCUAUGAUACCAUUUUUGACAUUCAAUUCUCUGAUCAAUUUAAAAUAUUUUUCCUGGUGUAUGGUGUGAGGAAUAGAUCCAUUUCCCCCCUUAUGUGGCUUUUCACUUGUCAUAAUGCAGGUUUUACAAGUCUAUCUUCCCCACUGAUUAAAGAUGCAGGCUUCAUCAAAUACUAAACAUUUAUAUGCAGUUAGGUAUAGUUCUGGAUGCUCUGUUCUAUUGAUCUGUCUAUUUAUGUGAAAAUGCAAUAAUAUUUUUAUUAUGAAGUCUUUAUUAUAUGUAUUUGUCCUGGCAGGGCUAGCUGCCCUUCAUUGCUCUUCUUUUUCAGGGAUUUCCUGGUGCUGUUCUUGUUUGUCCUUCCAAAUGAAAUUUAUAGUCAAAUCGUCUAGAUGCAAAAAAAAAAAAAAAAAAUCAGGUUUCUUCCCACUGUUUUGCUGUCCUCUGUGUCUACUCUUUUAAGGAGAAUUAACAUAUUUCUGAUAUUAACUCAUUUCAUUCAAGAAUAAACAUUGUUUAUCCUUCCAUUUGUUCAAGCUAUGUGUCCCCCAAUAAGUAAAACAUUCGAUUUUCAUAUUCGUAUUAUGAUAUAGCUAUUAAUUUUUAAUUUAUUCAGUAUUUUUACUAAUUUUUAAUUAUCGUUCAGAUGUUUCUUCUGCAUUUAUGAGAUUAAUAAUAUGAUUUUUCUCUUUAGGUUGAUAAAUAUGAUGGAUUUAUCAAUGAAAUUUUUGUAAUAUUACAUGACCUUUCAUUCUUGAAAUAAAUACUAUUUAGUUGUGAUAUAUUACUUUAUAAUAUGUUGUUGGCUUCUGUGUACUUUUUAAAUAAAUUUGGCAUUGAUAUUCUUAAGUAAAAUUGAGCUGUAGUUUUUUUAUGCAUUUUUUUCAGGUUUUGGAAUUGAUGUUAUACUAACAUAAAAAAAAAGUAUUUGAAAUUUUCCUUCCUUUUCAAUGCUCUGGAAUGGUAUAAGUAAUAAGGUGAUGAUCUGAAUUGUAAAAGGUUGUAGGAUUUACCCGUGAAACCUAGGACGGGUGGAAUUUUUUUUAAUUGGAGCGAUUUUACUAUUUUCUCUAUUGUUUUUCUAUUAUAGUUAGCCUGUCUAGUUUUUCUGCCUCAAAUUAGGCCAAUUUGGUAAGUUGUCUUCUAUAACUUUUCCAUUUCAUUUAGGUUUUUAUAUUUAUUCAUAUACUUUUCAGACUUACUCCUUUUGAUGAUCAUUUGACAUUUUUUAAAAAUUGUGUGUAUUUGUGCUUUUUCUCUUUUUUCUUGAUUACACUGGCUAAUGAUUUGUCUGCCUUUAUUUUUUUUAUUAAUGCUACUGUUUAUUUCUGUCUUCAAACUCAUUACAAAUGCAAUUGUCUUAACUAGAAUUAUUGCUUGAGUGGUUUCUUUUUCAGAAUGUUUUCCUGGUUAUCAGGCUCUGGGUUGCCAUUUUAAUUGCAAGUGUCAGAACAGUGGAAUUUGCAGCAGGUUUUCUAGAAGCUGUGAGUGCCUCACAGGUUAUUAUGGAAGAGACUGCGAACAUGCAUGCCUUCCUGGAUUUUAUGGUUUGAAUUGUGCUCACAUCUGUGACUGCAAAAACAGAGCCAACUGUGAUGCAGCAGUUGGACAAUGCAUUUGCCCAGCAGGUUUCCACGGUAGCCAAUGUGAAAAAGGUAUAACCAGGGUGUUUUUAAGCGUUGAAUGUGGGAAUUCUGUGUGACUGUGAGGUCUUUCCAUCUGAGGGCAAACGUGUAAACCCGAAUCUGAACCAUGGAAUAAUCACCUGAGCUUCUGAUUUGGACAUUAAAGUGACAGGAAUUCACUCUACAGACAGUAUAAUGAGUCUUGAUUUUGUUGCUGAUUGGUCAAAAUUUUUAUUUUGCCCUAAAUGAAACUAUUUAAUAUGUCAAAACACUACGAAAGUAGUCUUCAAUGGACAAAGAUUCUACUCUAAAUGAGAAAUAUUUCAUUAAAUGCCUUUUAAAGAAUGACAUGCAUUGGGUUCAGUGGUACUGAAACAGAUUCGAGGGCUUUAUGAAAAAUAUUUAAAGAUGUGAAUUAGGCAUUUAUCAGUAGAAGUAACGGCAGCCAUGAAUGUGGAUGAAGAUAUAGAGGUGAGAAUUUGGGCUACUCAGUUUGAAAUAAAAUAUUAUGAAGCCCUGGUCCAUUCAAAACAAUGCCAAACCACAUCGUUCUCAGUAAAGAACUCCAAGUCCCAUUUUAAUCUAUAUUAUGUUUGCUCUUGUGUAUAUACGGUUACAACUCCAAUAACGAUAAUGAUAAUAUAAUGAUAGUGGUAAUUUGACUUUGAAUCAAAGUUCUUACCAUAAAAAGGAGCUAUAAAUUAGUCCCAUACAGUGUCCUCAUGUCACUAGAACUUUACAUGUAGUGACUCUUGUCCAUCCUUUAUUCACUUAUUCAUUUAUUAUUUAGUGAUUCGAUACAAUGUGCAUCUAUUAUGUGCCUGUUCUGUGUUAAAUUCUGGGAACAUAGUGAAGCUUACCGUCUUCUGGAGAAAUAGACAGUAAAUAAAUAACAUUUUAAGGAAAACUAUUUAAAGCAAUACACUUGGCUGGGCCACUCAGUCUCAUUCCUUAAAUUCCUGUCUUCAAAAAGCUUACAUACAUUCUUAACUGGUACAAACCGAUGUUGAAGUAGCUCAACUUUAAGGCCCAAGUGUGAAACCGUGUAUAAAAUGAAGCUUCUUUCUGAGAAUUCCAAAAAUUUCCUCUCUUCUUCUGACCAAUCAAUCUCACUUUAUCAUCCCACUUUGCUCUUGUGGAAAUUGUAUCUUUUUUUUUUUUUUUUUUUGCGGCACGCGGGCCUCUCACUGUUGUGGCCUCUCCCGUUGCGGAGCACAGGCUCCGGAAGCGCAGGCUCAGCGGCCAUGGCUCACGGGCCCAGCUGCUCCGCGGCAUGUGGGAUCUUCCCGGACUGGGGCACGAACCCGCGUCCCCUGCAUCGGUAGGCGGACUCUUAACCACUGCGCCACCAGGGAAGCCCCCAGAAAUUGUAUCUUUAAUCUCAAUUUAGGUGCAUCACUGACAGCUCAAGGAGUUAAUUUUUCAGCGUUUCUCUUUCCUGGGUAGUGUUCGCCUGGAAUAUUUGGAGACAAUUGCCAUCAACUUUGUGAUUGUGAAAGAGAAAAGCUCCUGCCGCCCAGUAACUGGGACAAUACUGUAUCUAUGUAUGUAUGUAAAUAUCUGCAUCUAGUCCAGAAUAAGAAACCUCCAGAGGCUCAUUAAGAGUCUUGUAUUCCUUCCUACCCCUCCUUCUUCCCUUUUGGGUAGACUUAUAGGAUAAGGCGAAGGCGUUAUGAGUAGCGACUCGGAAUCCUUUAGGAUCUUCCAACUCAGGAGCUUCUUGAUGCUGACAUUUCUUUUCUGCAAAGCUGCUUCAUUAAAGUCUCUAAUUCUUGUGUUUCACUGCACUACAAGUUUCCUGAGAGUCACAUCCAUGUUUACUUGUCUUUUAUCAAAAACGUUUAGAACCAAGUCUAGCACAUGAUAGCCUUCAGCAAAUUUUUGUCGAGGGAAGUUUUGCUUUCCUUCUCCACAUUCUUCAUGGAAUCACAGUAGACAGAAAUAUUUGAACUUUGUGAAAUCUAAACUAAAUCUGUCAGAAUAAACAUCCACAUGGCAUCUUGGUGAAGCCACGGUAACUUGUCACCAAUGAAACACUCAGUAAAGGCAGUGCUUAUAGCAUUGGUGCUUGCAUUUAAAUCCUUAAGAAAACCAGUAAUAUGUACUGAAUGCAUAUUAUAUGCCAGGCAUUUUCAUUUAUACUAGGCGCCUUUACUAUUAUCACCAUACCCAUUUUAUAGAUGAGGAAGCUGGGAGCUGAAGCACAAAAAGGUUAAGUAACUUGCCCAAGGUUACACAGCUAGUAUGUUGGAGCUUGGGGAUUUGAAACAAGCAAUCUGGGCCCAGAGCUAGACUUUUUAACAUCCCCAUUGUACUGCCUCCCAAGGAAAAGAAAGGGAUAGGACUUUUCGGUUGUCAGUCUGCAUUGUCCAUUAACCACACGUGCUACUUAAUUUAAAUUUAGUUUAAUUUAAAAUUCACCUUGGGCUUCCCUGGUGGCGCAGUGCUUGAGAGUCCGCCUGCCGAUGCAGGGGACACGGGUUCGUGCCCCAGUCCGGGAGGAUCCCCCAUGCCGCGGAGCGGCUGGGCCCGUGAGCCAUGGCCGCUGAGCCUGCACGUCCGGAGCCUGUGCUCCGCAACGGGAGAGGCCACAACAGUGAGAGGCAAAAAUUCACCUCCUCAGUCUCACAUGACAUUUCAAGUGCUCAGUGGCCACACACAGCUAGUGGCUACAGUAUUGGAUAGCUCAGCACAGAACAUUUUCGUCAUUGCAGAAGGUUCUAUCGGACAACAGUUAGCAAUGACAUAAAACUAGCCACAAAACCAGGAGAGCUUAUAGACAGGCCGAAAAUUAAAGCCUCACUCUAUGGAAUUUCUGUGGACUAAAUUUGCUACCACAUAGUCUCUUUCAUCCACAAGUAAAUUGCCACGUGACAGUGGCUGCUAUGUAAACAUGUCCAUUCUAGGUGGGCACCUCAAGGCCUCUCUUGUCGUGAGCUCUUUGGGGUACCCAUGGCCUACACAGGCAUACCGCAGGCUCUUUUAUUUGCAUUUUUAUUUUCAAUUAAGCACAGUUCAUCUGCGAUAUUAACUGUGAACAGCUGUGUCUAUGCAGGCACUAUAAAGAUAAAAGACCUCAUUUUAAUUUGAACUCUGGUAAAGAACCUAUUAAACCGCCAUAAUAUUAAUUCGUAAAAGAAUGUAGCAGCUUUUUAUUGGAUGACUUCCCCACCCCCUUGGUAAAUUAACAUUUGCAGACAUUCAAACAGAUGUCUUGAAUACACAUCGUUAUUAACAUGAAAAUGUGGUAAUUUUGUAAAUUAAAAUCAGAUUCUGAACUGCUCAGUAGAGAACCUGACUCAUAACUCUUUUUCAAACAAGAAAACUAGGUCUUACCACCAAACUAAGUAAUUCUCCCACACACUGGGCACAGGUGGUUAUGUUAGGUUAAAUUUGAAAUGACACAUAGUUUUUUUUUUUUUACUUUCAUAAAGUUUGAUGAUUUAAAGAGAAGAUUCAUUUCAGAGCAGUAUUGGCAUCACCUCCAAAGUUCCUUUUACCUACCUGUAGUUCCUUGAUUUAGGAAGGAAUUGAAUUACUGUUGGCUCACACUGAAACUCUGUAAAAAAAUUAAUUGCAAAAUUGAUAUAUUUUCCAUUUAUCUCACAUUUAAAAUAUAACUAGUUAAUUAAGAUGAGAGCUAGACCACACUGUAACCUACCUUCAUUAUCUGAGAAAGAAAAAUAAAAUCAGAUAAACAUCCACUGCUCGUGGAAUAUUCAGGGUGACUCUCCAAUCCAGCAAAGAGAAUUUUGAGGCAAUAAAGAAAUGUUUAACAAAAUUUGCUCAGACUCAGAAUUUGCUCUCGUACCUGUAUCUUUAUAUUUAUAUCAAUAUCUCUAAAUUUUCCACUUCCACUUCCUGAUUUGGGCUUUCUUCUACAUAUGCUUGAUAUCUUGUGUCUUUCCACAUCGUAGUGCAAAAUGAGGAAUGAGCACUAGAUGAGAAUUUAGAAAUCCAGCUCUGUCAUUUACCAGAGAUCUAACGUUUGAGAAGGUCCCUUAAGACAUUCCAAACCUCAGUUCAUCUCUUUCUAGAAUGAGAGAGCUUACCUCACUGCCUCUCCUACCUCAAAGGUGUUUGUUAGAACCAAUUAAGAUAAUGUAUUAGGAACCCAUUUUGAAAAAUGGCGUAGGGCUAGCUGACUGUUAUUAUUGCAAAGUUAAGUUUCUCUGGUCCUUAAACAUUGGUAAAUUGAGUUAUUUCCCAGUCUUGCCUGACUGCCUAGGAAAUGUGAAACCAUUUUCUGUUUCCAGGGGCUGGGCUUGGCUUUCUUCCCAACCUCACAAUCCUUCAGAAACAGAACCUGUUAAUUCUCUGCUAAUUCUCUGCUGGAUAUCAGACUAAGACCAAAUGCACAGGCAGGGGUGUGAUGUUUGAGGGGGCCCCUUUUAGUCCACAUUUCAUUGUUUUGAUAAAGCUAACACUUUUUAAUUCCUUUUCUUCAUUUCUCUACUGGUUGCAAUCACAAUGCAAUUCAACUUAAAGAUAGUUAUAACCCUUUAGUACAUAUAGUAGUAUUUUACACAGGGGAUCUAUGGCCCUUUUGACGUAUUUUAAGAGAUGAAAGAGUUGAAUUUAAAGUCAUUUCCUUUUCAGCAACAUAAGCACAAAUAAUUGUGUUUUCAACCUAAAGACAAACUUCACAUAUUGUGUAUUCAGGGUGAGUUUCGCCUUUUUCUGGUCUCAAGACAGCUAAUCCAUUUUCUGUGUGUCCCUCACAAUGCACUGCUAUUGAAUAAUCUAAUUCUGAGAAGGCACUUUAAAAAUAUAAGUUGCUGUCCUGUCUUCUCGUCUUUUUGAUUUUGCCACUAACUUCCUUGCCUCCCCAGCCUCCUCCCGUUUUCCAUUAAAGUCCUUACUUUUCUUAUAUAACAUUCUAGCAUGGGAAAAAGAUACCAAUGGUUAACCAGAAUUCUUUACAAGCCUGUCCUUAUCCUAUUGCAAUCCAAGACAUAGUAGUAAAAAGACUGUAUGAUAGGAAAGCAUAUUUGAAUUGGCUUUAUUUUUAUUUUUCCCUCACAGAAUGCAGGUCAGGCCAGUACGGACCCAACUGCUCUCUGAAGUGCCAGUGUGUCCACACAGCUCACUGUGACCCUCUCAAUGGGAGCUGCACUUGCCCCCCACCCCCCAAGAGAAUGGGUCCAACCUGAGAGGAAUAUGGUGUGGACAAUCCUCAAUAGCCAAACACUAACAGCUUCUCAGUGGACGAAUAGCAUUUUGCUGAGGUUCACCCAUGGUUCAUCAUCUUAACUUUGGCAGGGAAAUGUACUUACUCAACCGUCUUCAGCCCAGCCUCGCCUGUUGUGAGGUGAAAAACAGGACGUCUCAACUUUAUGGCCUCCAAGCAUAAGUUCCAUUCUCUAGCCUACCCUUCCCAACUUCCUUUUGCUGCAUAACAUGCCCAAGAAAAUGAGAAUGUUUUUUCAAGAUCCCAAAUCGUAGUAACAUUUUGGACUAAUAAAUGAAACUUUUUAUAUGCACAGGAGGUAUUUAAAUUUGGAAGUAAGAACUGCUUUUCAGUUCAGGUUGGACUGCACUGAAAUAUUCACACCUAUUUACUGAAGACCUCAGUGGCCAUUAAGUAGCUGGAUCCUCUUGAGAAAUGUCUAGAAUUUCAUCUAUGUGUCCUCGGUAUCCUGCUUCACAGCUAAGUCAGCUUCAGAUUGUUAAUGCGUUGUAUUUCAAACAUGACUUUUGGUGUGGGAGGCUAUUCAGACUUUAGCCACAUAAAUAUCAGGGUAGAAGUAUGACGUGCAGACUUACAAUGAAUCAUCAAAAUGUUUAGUGGUGUUCUCCCAAUCACUGGUCAGCAGACAGGAAGAAAAAGUGAGUAGAAGUGAUCAAGGCAAGUGCUUAGCCUGCUCUGAGGGACACAAAUUUCCCAUGGAGUAGGGCCUGACUGGAAGGAGGAUUUUAAUCUACACUGUAAUCUUGACCCAAAUUGUUCAUCGUUUAGGUCAACUCUACAACAUUUGUAAGCAUAAGCCCUGUGAUGAGCCCCAGAAAGACACAGCAAUAAAUAUGAUUGUAUUUUUUGCUCUCAACUGGUUUAUACGUGUUUAAAAUUUCAGACGACUGGUUAAUUCACUUUAGAGGACAAAAAUUUUCUUGAUUGGAAAUGUUGUUACUCAUGUUAUCCAUGCUUUAUUGGGAUAAACAUAGAGAAUACUGAAAUUAUAUGACUAGAUAUUUGACUUAUAUACUGCCUAGAGUAGUUUUAAAUCAAAAUCUAUUUAAGAUAGACUUGACUAAAGGAUUUAUGAAAAGUACUUAGUGUUAUCAAUUCAGUAGAGUUUCUGAGCUUUACUUAACAUUUAUCUUCCUAUAUCUCAGCACAUUUAACAGAGAUAUAGCAUA
Long non-coding RNA from Orcinus orca (killer whale), 11572 nucleotides. RefSeq lists it as uncharacterized. The transcript has 8 exons. NCBI's taxonomy places the organism in Eukaryota, Metazoa, Chordata, Mammalia, Artiodactyla, Delphinidae. The record is from RefSeq and is a predicted model, not a curated record.